This 440-nucleotide ribosomal RNA is filed under the name Penaeus monodon (black tiger shrimp). Its description in RNAcentral is "partial 16S ribosomal RNA". It matches the Rfam family "Bacterial large subunit ribosomal RNA", at positions 1918 to 2558 of the family's 2925-position model. Lineage: Eukaryota; Metazoa; Arthropoda; Malacostraca; Decapoda; Penaeidae. The record is from RNAcentral.
UAUUUUUGACGGGCCGCGGUAUACUGACCGUGCGAAGGUAGCAUAAUCAUUAGUCUUUUAAUUGAAGGCUUGUAUGAAUGGUUGGACAAAAAGUAAUCUGUCUCAGUUAUAAUAGUUGAACUUAACUUUUAAGUGAAAAGGCUUAAAUACUUUAAGGGGACGAUAAGACCCUAUAAAACUUAACAAUAAUUUGAUUAAAUUAUAAAUUGUUAGUAUAACUUGAUUUUAAUUAAUGUUUGUUGCGUUGGGGCGACGGGAAUAUAAUUAGUAACUGUUCUUAAAUAUUUUAUUAACAAGUAUAAUUGAAGAAUAAUUGAUCCUUUAUUAAAGAUUAAAAGAUUAAGUUACUUUAGGGAUAACAGCGUAAUCUUCUUUGAGAGUCCUCAUCGACAAGAAGGUUUGCGACCUCGAUGUUGAAUUAAGGUAUCCUUAUAAUGCAG